Molecule: ribosomal RNA, 422 nt
Filed under: Verrucomicrobiota bacterium
Lineage: Bacteria; Pseudomonadati; Verrucomicrobiota
Description: Verrucomicrobia bacterium partial 16S ribosomal RNA
Rfam family: Bacterial small subunit ribosomal RNA
Source: RNAcentral
UGGGGAAUUUUGCACAAUGGGCGCAAGCCUGAUGCAGCGACGCCGCGUGAGGGAUGAAGGCCUUCGGGUUGUAAACCUUUUUCGCUCAUGGUCAAGCCGCAGCUUCGGGUUGUGGUGAGGGUAGUGGGUAAAGAAGCGCCGGCUAACUACGUGCCAGCAGCCGCGGUAAUACGUAGGGCGCGAGCGUUGUCCGGAAUUAUUGGGCGUAAAGGGCUUGUAGGCGGUUGGCCGCGUCUGCCGUGAAAUCCUCUGGCUUAACUGGGGGCGUGCGGUGGGUACGGGUUGACUUGAGUGCGGUAGGGGAGACUGGAAUUCCUGGUGUAGCGGUGGAAUGCGCAGAUAUCAGGAGGAACACCGGUGGCGAAGGCGGGUCUCUGGGCCGUUACUGACGCUGAGGAGCGAAAGCGUGGGGAGCGAACAGG